AAUUUCUGUUUCUAAUUACAUAUUCUCAUUAGAUGAGAGGUAAUUUGGUCAUUUUGUUCAAAAAAUAGUAUUUUUAAAAAUGACCAACAAAAAAAUA
This 97-nucleotide small RNA is filed under the name Arabidopsis thaliana (thale cress). RNAcentral's name for it is "ATSL122230". The record is from RNAcentral. Lineage: Eukaryota; Viridiplantae; Streptophyta; Magnoliopsida; Brassicales; Brassicaceae.